AACGCACAUUGCACCCUCUGGUAUUCUGGGGGGUAUGCCUGUUCGAGCGUCAUUUCAACCCUCAAGCCCAGCUUGGUAUUGGGUGUCACCUGGCAAUGGUGCACCUUAAAAUCAGUGGCGGUGCCAUCUGGCCUCAAGCGUAGUAAAACAAUCGCUUUGGAGGUUUGGAUGGUGUGCUUGCCAUCAACCCCUAAUUUACCAAAGGUUGACCUCGGAUCAGGUAGGGAUACCCGCUGAACUUAA
RNAcentral lists this unclassified non-coding RNA (243 nucleotides) under Microstella sp. RNAcentral describes it as "partial contains 5.8S ribosomal RNA, internal transcribed spacer 2, and large subunit ribosomal RNA". Lineage: Eukaryota; Fungi; Basidiomycota; Wallemiomycetes. RNAcentral also lists the same sequence under 1 other name. The record is from RNAcentral.